RNAcentral lists this ribosomal RNA (472 nucleotides) under uncultured bacterium. RNAcentral's name for it is "partial 16S ribosomal RNA". It matches the Rfam family "Bacterial small subunit ribosomal RNA", at positions 28 to 507 of the family's 1533-position model. The record is from RNAcentral.
GACGAACGCUGGCGGCGUGCUUAACACAUGCAAGUCGAACGACGACCCCGUAGCUUGUUCUGGGGGCUUAGUGGCGAACGGGUGAGGAACACGUGAGUAACCUGCCCUGCACUCUGGGAUAAGCGAAGGAAACGACGCCUAAUACCGGAUAGGAUCUUGCAUCCCAUGAUCUGGGGGGGAACGUCUGUUCUUGCUGGGAUGGACGCGCGGCCUAUCAGUUUGCUGGUGAGGGGAUGGCUCACCAAGGGGUCGACCGGUAGCCGGCCCGCACGGGUGACCGGCCACACUCGGACUGAGACAGGGAGCAGGCACCUGCGGAAGGCAGCCGUGGGGAGUAUUGCACAACCGGCGAUACCGUGAUGGAGAAACGCCGCGUGCGGGAGGACAGCCCUCGGGUUGUAAACGGAUUGUAGUAGGGUAGAAGGGCUUCGGCUUGACGGUACCUGCAGAAUAAGAACCGGCUAACUACGUG